UACGUAGGGCGCAAGCGUUAUCCGGAAUUAUUGGGCGUAAAGAGAUCGUAGGCGGUUUGUCGCGUCUGCCGUGAAAGUCCGGGGCUCAACUCCGGAUCUGCGGUGGGUACGGGCAGACUAGAGUGAUGUAGGGGAGACUGGAAUUCCUGGUGUAGCGGUGAAAUGCGCAGAUAUCAGGAGGAACACCGAUGGCGAAGGCAGGUCUCUGGGCAUUAACUGACGCUGAGGAGCGAAAGCAUGGGGAGCGAACAGG
This 253-nucleotide ribosomal RNA is filed under the name uncultured bacterium. RNAcentral's name for it is "partial 16S ribosomal RNA". It matches the Rfam family "Bacterial small subunit ribosomal RNA", at positions 524 to 776 of the family's 1533-position model. The record is from RNAcentral. RNAcentral also lists the same sequence under 1 other name.